GGGUAGUCAUCAAGUUCGUCCCAAUUACUGGUGAUCACUAGGGUCUAUUUCUUUUGCAGAUAUAAUUGUCAAAAAUCUCAAGUUCUCAUAUUUCAGUUUUUAGGUAUAUGAACUAGGACGAAAUACAGUUUCUUUUCCCACAGCUCAUUAAAUUCUGCAAUAAAACAACGAAGUUGAGUUCAGAACCUUGUAUCUGAGGGUGGAUUAGUCAAUUCGAGUACCACUGACUCACACAUGGUAGUUGCUAUAGUAGGAGGCCUACAAUAACAUUAUGCAUAGUUUUAAAUUCCAUAUUGGGGUAUAUAUGCAUGCUGUAAUACAAGAAAAUCAUCUAUUUUGUUACUAUCAUUUCUUUAAUUUCAUUUUUUUUUUUCCAAUCUACACAUGAAAAUUUUAUAUUCUAGAUCAAAUUAUAUAUAAAAUUCAAUAAUCAAGUACAAAAUAUCCAAUGUCGACAUGGAAAAUAUAUUUAAUGCCAAAUAAUUAAAAACUUCAAUUUUAUCUCAAUUUUAUUGUUUGAUACUUGGAAACCUUUACAUAACUUUCUAAGCAAUGAUCCACUGCUCUUACUAGUUACCCAUCGAUUCAAACAGUGACCUGUGACCUUGACCUGUUCAAUGUCUGAUUUGGGUCUGAAAACUAAGUGAAACACAGGAAGAAAGUCUUGGAUUUCGAUGUUUCAUUAAAAAUAUGGGAUUUGCAGGUGAUCAUUUAGUUCCUUUGAACUUCCCAAUGAACUGAGCCCAUAGAGGAUCAUGUGUUCUACAUCCUUUGCUUUGUCUAGAUAACAAAUCAAAGCCCUAUUAGUUGUAGCCAAAAAUAACCACAUACACACACAUUCAUGUGUAAAUGCAUGAUUUUUUUCAAGAAAUGCUUAGUAGGUGUCGAUAUGGUUGUUAUUGUGGCAUGACCAGAAUGGGGCUACACGUUUGCCACUAUGCUCUGUAGAAGGGGUUGCUAGGACUGCCAUUGAAAGAAAAGGAAAUAAAAUAACAAAAACACUAAGGGGUCACCUUAACUAUUAUAGUUUGUUAAAACCAGAUGAUAUGUUGCAUAUUUUCUUGGAUAAGCUGGGCAUGAAACUGCAUCCUGUUAAAUAUUGCAAUGUUUUGGUUGUUUGAUAUAGAGCUUGUCCUUGUUUGUCUUUCAUCAUUGUGAUGCAAAUUGGAAAGUAUAUUCUAGGCAUAAACAGAAUCAAAUCAAUUAAGGAUUGAAUUUUCAUUAUUGCAUUUUAUUGUUUUUCGUAGAAUAGUAAAUUUGUCUCCUUGUAAAAGGAAAUUCAAGUUCUCCUUUUCAUUUUUAAUUAGGACCUAUAAAUUGAGGUUUUUUGGUUGUAAGAAGACAGACCUGAAUAUUGAAUAAACCUACAAUCUUUCCCUCAUUUCUCUCGUCCUACUUCUUUCUCCUUCUUUAUUGCUCUCGUUCAUUGCCAUCGGCAUCACAUUGUUUCUAACUUAUGCAGAUGUGAGUUCAGAAUACAAGUGGAGAGUAUGAACUUUCUUGCUGUGCAAAUGAAAAGCUCAAUUUUUAUCAACAUCCCCUGGGAUUAUAUCAUAAAAAAAUGUAGAUUGUAAGGCAUAUUUCUUGUCCUUGAUGAUAUACUUGUUACCCUUUUGUCGUGUUAUCAGGACUCUCGUCUAAGUUUUCGUUGAGGUAUACUCAGCAGAAUAUUAAGAGUUAAACCCUGGAUUUAAUGUCUAGGACCUAACUUGUAUACAUACCAAACCAAACUGAUAUAACCUAAAUUGUAAUUCUAUUAUGUUGGUGAUUAACUCAGUGUAAGUGUCUGGUAUGCAGGAACAUGACUACCGACAAUUUGAAUACUCCUUGAAGAAGAAUGGUAAGCGUGAGAAGAACAACAAAGUGGAAAGGGUGACAAUAAAUAGAUGCGGGUGGGAGUCAAGGACUGGUGAGUUGAAAUAUUUAAAUGCGACGACUGAGAUCUAGUAAAUUAUUUUUCGUGUUCAACUAAGAUACACACCUAGGGCAUGAUGUGCAAUUGGCAAUUUAAUUUGAUAGCAUUGAGGAUAGAGGCAUGUUGUUUUCUAGUCGAGUAUAACUAACAUUUUUUCGACUGAUUGCAGGUGGAUCAAGACCGAAUAUUCGUACCUAGACCAGCCAACCAUAAACACGGCAGAUAAUCCUAGGGUAUGAUAUUCCUAUACUCCAAAUCUUAUGUGACGAGUCCAAUCCCCAACAAGAUCCAACAGAUGUAUUUGUUUGAUAUUUAAUUUUGAUACGAAUUGGACAUGAUUCGAUACGCUUUCAACAUGUUUCUGGCAUAUAAAUGUCUUUCUAAUAUACCAUGUGAUGUGCCUUGUAUGUUUAAUUUUUGACACAGAAAUUGUGUCUAUACAUCGUUUACAUUUUUCUUCCUCAUUUCUAAUGGAAUUAAGCUUUGUUGUUAGAUGAAUUUGGCAUUUUUAUUGAUAGAAGAUGUGUAAAAAAAUGAUUGGAUGACAUUGUUGACUAUUUUUUAAAUGGUCGAAUAAAAUUCUACUACGUGGCCUUUUGG
Molecule: long non-coding RNA, 2515 nt
Filed under: Olea europaea subsp. europaea
Lineage: Eukaryota; Viridiplantae; Streptophyta; Magnoliopsida; Lamiales; Oleaceae
Source: RNAcentral